CACCUAACAGCUAGCCCCCCCCCACCAAAAACAACAAUUCAAUAUAAAUAAACCCUAACACAACAGCACACCCAACAAACAAAUCAUUUUUCCCCCUUAGUAUGGGCGACAGAAAAG
This 117-nucleotide ribosomal RNA is filed under the name Bleekeria mitsukurii. RNAcentral's name for it is "partial 16S rRNA". Lineage: Eukaryota; Metazoa; Chordata; Actinopteri; Plesiopidae. The record is from RNAcentral.